Molecule: ribosomal RNA, 449 nt
Filed under: uncultured Pelagibacterales bacterium
Lineage: Bacteria; Pseudomonadati; Pseudomonadota; Alphaproteobacteria; Candidatus Pelagibacterales
Description: bacterial SSU rRNA
Rfam family: Bacterial small subunit ribosomal RNA
Source: RNAcentral
UGAGAGUGGGUAGUCCGCACGAGCGCACCCUAUUUUUAGUUGCUACCAUUUAGUUGGGCACUCUAAAAAAACUGCCAGCUGAUAAGCUGGAGGAAGGCGGGGAUGACGUCUAGUCCUCAUGGCCCUUACGUGUUGGGCUACACACGUGCUACAAUGGUACUUACAGUGAGAAGCAAAGAGGCGACUCUAAGCCAAUCCCAAAAAGGUACCUCAGUUCGGAUUGUACUCUGCAACUCGAGUACAUGAAGCUGGAAUUACUAGUAAUCGCGGAUCAGCGCGCCGCGGUGAAUACGUUCCCGGGUCUUGUACACACCGCCCGUCACACCAUGGAAGCUGGGGGUACCUAAAGUCGGUAACCGAAAGGAACUGCCUAGGGUAAAACUGGUAACUGGGGCUAAGUCGUAACAAGGUAACCGUACCGGAAGGUGCGGCUGGAACACCUCCUUUCU